CCUGCCCCAGAGGCAUUGCAGGUGUGAGUGCUGUGUCAGGUGUGUGUCACAGGUGGCAGAGAGGAGAGAGGCUAUGUCUGUGCUCAGUGUUCCGACCUGUGAACAUCGUAAUGAUUAGUAGCCUAACAUU
Small nucleolar RNA from Grammomys surdaster, 130 nucleotides. RefSeq annotates it as small nucleolar RNA SNORA17. The record is from RefSeq and is a predicted model, not a curated record. The transcript has a single exon. NCBI's taxonomy places the organism in Eukaryota, Metazoa, Chordata, Mammalia, Rodentia, Muridae.